CGGCACGUAGCGCAGCCUGGUAGCGCACCGUCAUGGGGUUUCGGGGGUCGGAGGUUCAAAUCCUCUCGUGCCGACCA
RNAcentral lists this transfer RNA (77 nucleotides) under Escherichia coli. RNAcentral's name for it is "tRNA-Pro". It matches the Rfam family "tRNA". From Rfam's summary of the family: Transfer RNA (tRNA) molecules are approximately 80 nucleotides in length. Their secondary structure includes four short double-helical elements and three loops (D, anti-codon, and T loops). Further hydrogen bonds mediate the characteristic L-shaped molecular structure. tRNAs have two regions of fundamental functional importance: the anti-codon, which is responsible for specific mRNA codon recognition, and the 3' end, to which the tRNAs corresponding amino acid is attached (by aminoacyl-tRNA synthetases). tRNAs cope with the degeneracy of the genetic code in two manners: having more than one tRNA (with a specific anti-codon) for a particular amino acid; and 'wobble' base-pairing, i.e. permitting non-standard base-pairing at the 3rd anti-codon position. Lineage: Bacteria; Pseudomonadati; Pseudomonadota; Gammaproteobacteria; Enterobacterales; Enterobacteriaceae. The record is from RNAcentral.